CGUCAGUGGAGGAGGAGAGAGAGUGUAGAGUGACACACAGCAUUUGAUUUGAUUUUAGCUGACGGUGCUGGGCAGGAGUGCUAAUGGAGGGAGGGACAGAGGUGUACAACAGAAGGACAGUCUCUGAAGUGUCCUACCAAAGAGGAAUACCAGUACUCAACCUGGACUAAAGAAUAAUACAGUACAACAACAACCCAUGUGUUCUCUUUGGAAGGAGGAAUUCACCAAUCACUAAAUGGGAUCUGCACUAAAGAGCAAUAGAGGGACCAUGUAAUACUUGACCUUAUUUGAGGAACAUCUAGCCACCAUGUUAGAACUAGUCUGAAGCAUUCAGAAGGACCGGUACAACAUCUACCCGUCAUCAGCUCUACCAGGAUGGGUCCACAUUGAAGGAGAUCUGAACCCCUGGAUCUCUUCACCAAAGAGGAAUAACACCAGGCUUCUCACCAUG
Molecule: long non-coding RNA, 451 nt
Filed under: Salmo salar (Atlantic salmon)
Lineage: Eukaryota; Metazoa; Chordata; Actinopteri; Salmoniformes; Salmonidae
Description: lncRNA (ENSSSAG00000101984.1)
Source: RNAcentral